This 276-nucleotide ribosomal RNA is filed under the name uncultured bacterium. Its description in RNAcentral is "partial 16S ribosomal RNA". It matches the Rfam family "Bacterial small subunit ribosomal RNA", at positions 335 to 603 of the family's 1533-position model. The record is from RNAcentral.
ACUCCUACGGGAGGCAGCAGUGGGGAAUAUUGCACAAUGGGGAAAACCCUGAUGCAGCCAUGCCGCGUGUGUGAAGAAGGCCUUCGGGUUGUAAAGCACUUUCAGUAGGGAGGAAGGUAGUGUAGUUAACACCUGCACUAUUUGACGUUACCUACAGAAGAAGCACCGGCUAACUCCGUGCCAGCAGCCGCGGUAAUACGGAGGGUGCGAGCGUUAAUCGGAAUUACUGGGCGUAAAGCGCAUGCAGGCGGCCUGUUAAGUCAGAUGUGAAAGCCC